This 482-nucleotide ribosomal RNA is filed under the name uncultured bacterium. Its description in RNAcentral is "partial 16S ribosomal RNA". It matches the Rfam family "Bacterial small subunit ribosomal RNA", at positions 30 to 507 of the family's 1533-position model. The record is from RNAcentral.
AUUGAACGCUGGCGGCAUGCCUUACACAUGCAAGUCGAACGGUAACGGGCCUUCGGGUGCCGACGAGUGGCGAACGGGUGAGUAAUACAUCGGAACGUGCCCGAUCGUGGGGGAUAACGAGGCGAAAGCUUUGCUAAUACCGCAUACGAUCUACGGAUGAAAGCAGGGGACCGCAAGGCCUUGCGCGGACGGAGCGGCCGAUGGCAGAUUAGGUAGUUGGUGGGAUAAAAGCUUACCAAGCCGACGAUCUGUAGCUGGUCUGAGAGGAUGAUCAGCCACACUGGGACUGAGACACGGCCCAGACUCCUACGGGAGGCAGCAGUGGGGAAUUUUGGACAAUGGGCGCAAGCCUGAUCCAGCCAUGCCGCGUGCAGGAUGAAGGCCUUCGGGUUGUAAACUGCUUUUGUACGGAACGAAAAGCCUUCUUUUAAUACAGGAGGGUCAUGACGGUACCGUAAGAAUAAGCAUCGGCUAACUACGUG